Molecule: long non-coding RNA, 7747 nt
Organism: Syngnathoides biaculeatus (alligator pipefish)
Lineage: Eukaryota; Metazoa; Chordata; Actinopteri; Syngnathiformes; Syngnathidae
Exons: 3
Source: RefSeq, a predicted model, not a curated record
CUGUCGUCGUCCAGUCUUCCGGGAGCUUCGGUUGUCCAUCGGGAGCCUGUCUCACCUCUUUCCGGAAGGCCGCACAACAUUCUUCCUUUCUCAGCUUCCACCACAUGGUUCUCUGCUCUACCUUUGUCUUCUUAAUCUUCCUACCCACCACCAGAAUCAUCCUACAUACUACCAUCCUAUGCUGUCGAGCUACACUCUCCCCUACCACUACUUUACAGUCAGUAACCUCCUUCAGAUUACAUCGUCUGCACAAAAUAUAAUCUACCUGCGUGGUUCUACCUCCGCUCUUCUUAUAUGUUCCUCCCUCUUCUGGAAAUAAGUGUUCACUACAGCCAUCUCCAUCCUUUUUGCAAAGUCCACCACCAUCUGUCCCUCAAAGGUCCUUUCCUGGAUGCCGUACUUACCCAUCACUUCUUCAUCGCCCCUGUUUCCUUUACCAAUAUGUCCAUUACAAUCUUUACCAAUCACAACUCCCUUGCUGUCUGGGAUGCUCAGAACUACUUCAUCUAGUUCCUUCCAGAAUUUCUCUUUCAACUCUAGGUCACAUCCUACCUGUGGUGCAUAGCCGCUAACCACAUUAUACAUAACACCGUCAAUUUCAAAUUUUAGUCUCAUCACUCGAUCUGAUACUCUUUUCACCUCCAAGACAUUCUUAGCCAGCUCUUCCUUUAAAAUAACCCCUACUCCAUUUCUCUUCCCAUCUACUCCGUGGUAGAAUAAUUUAAUCCCUGCUCCCAAACUUCUAGCCUUACUACCUUCCACCUGCUCUCUUGGAUGCACAGAAUAUCAACCUUUCUCCUAAUCAUCAUGUCAACCAACUCCUGAGCUUUUCCUGUCAUAGUCCCAACAUUCAAAGUCCCUACACUCAGUUGUAGGCUCUGUGCAUUCCUCUUUUUCUUCUGACGCUGGAUCCGGUUUCCUCCUCUUCUUUUUUGGAAUAUCUAAGGUGUAUAAUAAUAGAGCGCUGGAUUCCUAUUUUGCAAGAUAUUUAACUGUCCUCCCAGUAAUUCCUAUUUUUCCUGUCGGAGAAGGAAUUAAGCCCAGUCCUAGUUUCAGCAAGCCAUCUCUUCCCAAAAAACAUACGGGGCAAAUUAAAAAGUUGCAUUUUGGGAGCAUUAGUUGUGACAUUUUUGAUGGGGAGAUGGCUGCUCUCUUCCUCAUCUGUGGCCACAAUUAUUAAAUGUUUCACAUAAAGCUCCAUAAAUUUCUCCUUCCUCUGUCAGAAAGGUCUCAACUUUCUUUUUCUCAUUUUGUAGCACUCUUUCUGCGUGUAGUGCUUGGUUAAGGUAAUGUUACAGGCUGCAGACGGUUUGUCAACUCAAUGUUUUUCAAUUCAUUGUUUUGUAGGAUUAUUUGAAUUUGCAUGAAGAACAUUUUUUUAAUUUCCCUUGAUACACACUCCCUGGAGUGUGAUCUUCAGGAAUGCCACUGUUUGCUUUAAAACAUGCAGUCAUUCCAAUUCUAUAUUCUUCAAAUGGUUCAUUGUUAUUUUAUUUUGCUCUUCCAAUGGCAGAACAAUUUGCUUUUUGUCUAAAUCUCGCAGAGGUGCACGAUAUUAACCCUCGAACUCCCUGCUGCUAUGAGAAAGUACUUUGCUGUCAUCCAGAUUUAUUGUACUUCCACACCAUUUAAGUGGUAAGAUUUUCUCAAGUCUUGCGUUCCCUGGACGAAUUAUGUUACAUCAACUUUAUGAGAUGUGAUACCUUUUAUGGCCGUUUUCACAUCAUCUUGAGUCCAGGUUCUAUGUACCAAAAUGGUGGGUAGUUGAUCAUCUUGAAUAUUAGGAUUUGCCACUUCUAUCAUGGGAUAUGUUUCUUCAAUGCCUUCGUCGGACUGGUCUAUUUUUGGCAUGGGAGAGAAAGUCUUUCCCCAUGUUUUUGACAUUCCAUUUCUGCUCCUUCUGAUCUAGUUCCUUUUUUAUUUGUUCCUCCAUAGUGUGGGGGAGGUGAAGGGGGUGAAGGGGGUAAAGGUGAAUAUAGCACUGGAUACCCUGGAGCAGUUGGCGUUAUAACUGGGGUGGUGGUGUGUGGGUGUGUAACUCCCUGCCUCUCUUCCUGCCUUACUCCUACCGGUCCUUUCUCAUCAUCUUCCUUUCUAUGAAACAUAAUUGAUUCCUCUUUCUUAUCGUGUAAUUUUUCCUGUUCUUCCUUUUCUAUCCUUUUUUUACCUUGUUUUCUUUUUAUGGCUAUUAACAUCCAAAACUGUAUCGUCAUAGCCAUCUUUACUCAUUUUUUUUAAAUCAUUUUUGUGUGUGUUUCUUAUUUUAUCCUGAAGGUUAACUAUUUUUUGCGUAUUGAGCUGGCCAGCAAAGUCAUAUUUUGUUAUCCAUAAAUGUAGAUAUUUUAUUUUAGAAGGACAUUGUCUUUCUACAAACUUCCAGUCCUUAUAUGGUAAUUUUUGUCUAAGAUCCUCUGUGUCAACUAUUUUUCCGGAUGAUUUUCCCAUGUUGAAGUCAGCGGUUCACCGAGGGUGACUAAACUGACUUCCCCUGAACAGGGUGACAAUUACGUUCCGUUUGAGGUAAUUCUCAAGCUUCUACCACAAGUGGCGGAGAAUUCUUACCUCUGCAUCCUCAAACAGUUGUCACUCAAUUUCCUGUUCAAAUGAGGUAGCCAACCUCCACUCACACUUUUACACAUGCACAUGUUUCACAGAGCUCACGUACAGGACACACCUCGCCCUUUUCUCAGUUUUAUAGACUAGUUAGUCUACUCGAUAGUGACUAGUAUUCUCGAGGUUUGGUUCUCCCGCACUCACCCAGACGCGCAUUCACUCAUUCCCCUUGAGCGUGGGAGUUUCCUACUCACCAGAGAUGUCUUUACUUCCUCCGGCUUCUCGUCAACCCUCAACCUCCAGAUUGACUCUCUUCCAGUUCCGGGUGUUGAGUUCUUGAUCGGCAACGAUCUUAUGGGGGCUCGAGUUGGCGCUGAUCCUACUGUCAAUGUUUCUCAAGAGUGUUCACCCAGUACAGAGAAGUUGGAGUGUGAAUUUCGGGACAUUUUUUUGUCUUGUGCAUUGACUCAUUUGAUGUCAAAGACAUUUCUUCCAAGAUUUCUUUGCUGAAUGAUUAGAUUUUUGAUUUAUUAGAUACAUUUAUGGUUCAUUCUUUAGACUCAGAGGCUGAUGACUGCUUCAAACUCUUUAGGUCCUACUGAUAAGUCUGAAAAUUUGUUGAGUGGUGAUCACAUUUUGUCGAGAAAUCAGCUUAUUAGUGCACUGAGUGCCAAUGGUGAACUAAAAACCUCUCAAGCCAAAAUGAAACAAAAUUAUGACAAAACAUCAAAAGACAAGUUUCAUUCCUGGUGAAAAAGUGUUACUCCUUUUUUCCAUUCCUGGCCACCCACUCAGAGCUAGAUAUCAGGGCCCAUAUGAAAUAAACAAAAAAGUUAGCGACACAGACUACAUUGUCCUGACUCCUGGCCGUCGUAAGCACAAAAGGUUAUGCCAUGUGAACAUGAUGAAGAAAUAUCAUGAUAGGGUUUAAACCAAACAAGUCAGUUGUAUUGCUACAACAAUCUCCUCCCCAGUUACUGAUUAUUCAGUUGAUGAUGAUGCAAGGGUCAAUAACAACGUUGAUGAUGCUGUUCGCGAUGCCAAGUUUGAUGAUUUCAGUGAUAAUGCUUCACCAAAGUUGAUGUCCUAGCUUACCUUGAUGAGAAAUUGACACAUUUUUCAACUGACCAGAAAGCUGAAAUAACACAUUUUGCUUUUUGAGUUUUGUCAUUUGUUUCCAGAUGUGCCUGGCCGCACAUGCCUGGUUCGUCAUGAUAUAGAUGUGGGUGAUGCUGUGCCUGUGAAACAACACCCAGAUCGAAUGAAUCCUGCGAAGAGUGAGAUUCUGCAGAAGGAGAGUGGUGGUUGGCGCUGCUGCGCUAACAUGAACACUGUCAAUGCACUGUCACGAACUGACUCUUACCCUCUGCCCAGAGUGGAUGAUUGGAUUGGUCAUGUCGGUCAAGCUACAUAGAAGAACCCAUGUCUGAGAUGGUUUUAAAUGUAAAAAGAAAAUGUUGAAACCUGGAUCAGUGGUGCAACAAGCUCAGAGGCCCACCCACAGAAAGUACCAAAAAGACGAGUUGCAGAGGUAUGUUGGUAAUUUUUUGUUUCUUGAAAAACUUUGAACACUCUUGACAUGGUUGAAUUAAAGCAGCAUAUGUUGUUCUUGGUGAGUAAUAUAAAUUCUAUUACAGCAAAUGGUUUGACCAUUCUCAACUACACAAAUGGGAAAAUAUUGUAUACAAUAUGAUAUAUAAAAUAUUAUUAUGACAGUUAUGCAAAAUGUAAAGAAACAAUGCCCGUGACUCCACCCCAAACAAACAAUAUCACAAGGAAGUAUAUCUGGCAAUGUAUCUGACUGGUGUUAUUAUGUUUGGAGGAUUUGAAUUUAAAUAAAAUACUACAUAGUAUUAAAACAAGAAGUUAAGUACAGUAUUACAUACAGUGAUGAAAAUAAGUAUUUGAAGACUGCUAUAUUGCAAGUUCUCACACUGAGAAAUCAUGUAGGGGUCUGAAAUGUUCAUUGUAGGUGCACACCCACUGUGAGAGAGAUAAUCUAAAAAGAAAAAUGCAGAAAUCACAAUGUAUGAUUGUUUAACGAUUUAUUUGUGUGAUAAAGCUGCAAUAAGUAUUUCAACACCUGAGAAAACCAAUGUUAAUAUUUAGUAUAGUAGCCUCCACACAGAUCUUCUCUAGAUCAGACAGGUUUCUGAGCUGUCACUGAGAAACACAGUUUCAGCUCCCUCCAAAGGUGCAUCUGAUGGGCUUUUAAAGGCAGACAAACAGGUCUUUGAGAGUCAGAAUUCUACAUUGUGAUUUCUGGAUUUUUCUUUUUAGAUUAUCUCUCUCACAGUGGACGUGCACCUACGAUGAAAAUUUCAGACCCCUCCAUGAUUUCUAAGGACAAUGCGCAUGCGAGGAGGUACUUCUCUGCUGCAAAGGGUUUUUGGGCCUCGGAUAUAAAAAAAAAGAAAUCCGCGUUAGUAGCAGCCACCGGGUGCAUGUAAGUCGGUGGACCGGAAUCUGGCCACCUGCCCUGAUUUGUGUUUAACAUGAUUAGCAAUAUCAAUGUUGAGAAAGUUCGCAGUGUGCUUCCGUAUUGACAGAGGCUCAGCAUAUAGCCUAAACGUUGACGGAUAGCACACAUAGAACGCGUUGGCUAACAUACACAGACUGAUUUCAUUGUUAGAAACCUGAUGUAAUGUUUGUAUAAAUUUAUGAAACAAGUAUGUAUAUAUAAAACGAUGGUUGUUCAUGAAGACAAGAAACGUUCUUGAACACUUUAUUAGGACACCUGGAAUGAACAGAAUAGACUUUGUAUAAUAGGCACAACAGGUGCCUUUAUAAAAAUUAUAAAAAGACAUUCCGCUGCUUGCCAAACACGAGGAAAACGGGAAGAUGAGGCGGUAUUGGGAGGAUGAUGAGGACUGGGCGGACGCCCGGUACAGGGGGCGCCGCAGGCCUACACGAGGCUUCUGGGGGCGCGAUGGCGUGGCGCAGGGGUGGGUCGAUGUCCGCAGGCACACACACACCAUUCCAGCCCUCACCCGAAAUCGCCCCUCCGCGCGCACGGGGACGAGGGGGAACGCGAAAUCUCAUGUCUUCUUUGUCUUACAGGCCCGAACGGACAUAUCUCCUGGAGGCCAAUGAAUCACAGACCUUGAGGCCAGGGAGACAGACUAAAUUACAUAUGUGUAAAAAAGGGUCUAUGCGUCAAUGCAUGUUUUCUUGGUUAUGUGUGUGUGUGUGUAUAUAUAUAUAUAUAUAUAUAUAUAUAUAUAUAUAUAUAUAUAUAUAAACCCUGAGACUCAUACGUGCUUGCGCGGCAAAACGGCAACACAGGAGUUAUUUAGACAGCCAGGGUUUUAAACAUCAUUUGUACAAUGUUUAAAAUUUUUUAUACAUUGUAGAAGUGCUUCCUACGGGUUGCCGUGAUUUCCUUGCCCCGUCUAGGACCUACUGUGGUGUUUGUCUUCACAAGAGCCUGCGGUGGGAAAAAAAAAAAAAAAAAGUCAUGCUUCGAGGCUGGCAGUACCUCUGCAGACCCACCAGAUGGCGACUGUGGGAAGGAUGCCGAGCAGGACAAGAGAGGAAAAACUCCGUCAGGAGGGGUCAGGGCUUCCUGUAUGGAGGACCCGUCCGGAACAAUGCGCAUGCGAGGAGGUACUUCUCUGCUGCAAAGGGUUUUUGGGCCUCGGAUAUAAAAAAAAGAAAUCCGCGUUAGUAGCAGCCACCGGGUGCAUGUAAGUCGGUGGACCGGAAUCUGGCCACCUGCCCUGAUUUGUGUGUAACAUGAUUAGCAAUAUCAAUAUUUAGAAAGUUCGCAGUGUGCUUCCGUAUUGACAGAGGCUCAGCAUAUAGCCUAAACGUUGACGUAUAGCACACAUAGAACGCGUUGGCUAACAUACACAGACUGAUUUCAUUGUUAGAAACCUGAUGUAAUGUUUGUAUAAAUUUAUGAAACAAGUGUGUAUAUAUAAAACGAUGGUUGUUCAUGAAGACAAGAAAUGUUCUUGAACACUUUAUUAGGACACCUGGACUGUACAGAAUAGACUUUGUAUAAUAGGCACAACAGGUGCCUUUAUAAAAAUUAUAAAAAGACAUUCCGCUGCUUGCCAAACACGAGGAAAACGGGAAGAUGAGGCGGUAUUGGGAGGAUGAUGAGGACUGGGCGGACGCCCGGUACAGGGGGCGCCGCAGGCCUACACGAGGCUUCUGGGGGCGCGAUGGCGUGGCGCAGGGGUGGGUCGAUGUCCGCAGGCACACACACACCAUUCCAGCCCUCACCCGAAAUCGCCCCUCCGCGCGCACGGGGACGAGGGGGAACGCGAAAUCUCAUGUCUUCUUUGUCUUACAGGCCCGAACGGAGACAUCUCCUGGAGGCCAAUGAAUCACAGACCUUGAGACCAGGGAGACAGACUAAAUUACGUAUAUGUGUAAAAAAGGGUCUAUGCGUCAAUGCAUGUUUUCUUGGUUAUGUGUGUGUAUCUAUAAAUAUAUAUAUAUAUAUAUAUAUAUAUAUAUAAACCCUGAGACUCAUACGUGCUUGCGCGGCAAAACGGCAACACAGGAGUUAUUUAGACAGCCAGGGUUUUAAACAUCAUUUGUACAAUGUUUAAAAUUUUGUAUACAUUGUAGAAGUGCUUCCUACGGGUUGCCGUGAUUUCCUUGCCCCGUCUAGGACCUACUGUGGUGUUUGUCUUCACUAGAGACUGCGGUGGAAAAAAAAAAGUGAUGCUUCGAGGCUGGCAGUACCUCUGCAGACCCACCAGAUGGCGACUGUGGGAAGGAUGCCAAGCAGGACAAGAGAGGAAAAACUCCGUCAGGAGGGGUCAGGGCUUCAUGUAUGGAGGACCCGUCCGGAACGAUGCGCAUGCGAGGAGGUACUUCUCUGCUGCAAAGGGUUUUUGGGCCUCGGAUAUAAAAAAAAGAAAUCCGCGUUAGUAGCAGCCACCGGGUGCAUGUAAGUCGGUGGACCGGAAUCUGGCCACCUGCCCUGAUUUGUGUUUAACAUGAUUAGCAAUAUCAAUGUUUAGAAAGUUCGCAGUGUGCUUCCGUAUUGACAGAGGCUCAGCAUAUAGCCUAAACGUUGACGUAUAGCACACAUAGAACGCAUUGGCUAACAUACACAGACUGAUUUCACUGUUAGAAACCUGAUGUAAUGUUUGUAUAAAUUUAUGAAACAAGUGUGUAUAUAUAAAACGAUGGUUGUUCAUGAAGACAAGAAACGUUCUUGAACACUUUAUUAGGA